GUAUGUUGCCCUUAGCGCAAUGCCACGAAGUAUAUUACACGACCCGUUGCUUCUCUUUGAGCUGAAGUGGUCAGAGAUAGAUCUCCUAGUAUACGAGGGGUUGAACUAGAGAAAACGUGAUCCACUUUCCUCCCGUGGCCUGCUCAACAUCGACACCAUGGACGAUGGCUUGUUUCGAACAUAAUUUCGUUUCGAAAAAUACAUAGGGAAGCUUCGGGUCGCUUUGCGCAUUCCUGAAACAGUUGUGAUAGUUUAAAGAGUGCUAAUAUUCGGAGAAGAAGCACGUUGUAUUACCCUUCGGCGGCUGGCGUAUCCGAACCGACUGAAAGAUCUUGAAGACUUCUUCGGCCGACAUCGAUCGGCGAUAUCGUCGUUGACGACAGAGGUAUUGAGACGUGUCGAUGAGAAGUUCUUCCACCUCUUGGACGACGUAAAUAACUACAGCUGGCUUACCAUCGACACGCUGGAGAACUUUUCAAAGGCCAUUAACGCUGAAGGAGCCCCACUUACUAACUGUUGGGGCUUCACUGGCGGCACCGCGCAAGCUCUAUGCCGACCUACAAGACAACAGCAGCUGUACUUUAGUGAACACAAAAGGUUCCAUGCCCUAAAAUACCAGGCAAUGAUGUGCCUGAAUGGCAUCAUUUGCCAGCUGGAUGGAUGUUAUCCAGGUUGCAAGCAUGAUGCUGGAACCGGACCUGCGACCAACGGGGCCAUACUAUGAGGCCCCCGGCAUUUAGUCGAACCAUCACACCUCCUUCAUUAUCACAAUCUCUCUGAAGGCCGAUAUGACUUAAAGUUUGGAUCUAAAAUGGAAAUUCCAAUUGCAACCUAUAUGCUUCACUUUGUGACAUGCGUGCCGAAAAUAAACAUGAGUUCUUAUCUGAU
This is a long non-coding RNA of Rhipicephalus microplus (southern cattle tick), 888 nucleotides long. The record is from RefSeq and is a predicted model, not a curated record. Lineage: Eukaryota; Metazoa; Arthropoda; Arachnida; Ixodida; Ixodidae.